RNAcentral lists this ribosomal RNA (371 nucleotides) under uncultured soil bacterium. RNAcentral describes it as "bacterial SSU rRNA". It matches the Rfam family "Bacterial small subunit ribosomal RNA", at positions 26 to 424 of the family's 1533-position model. The record is from RNAcentral.
AGAACGAACGCUGGCGGCAUGCCUAAUACAUGCAAGUCGAACGAGAUCUUCGGAUCUAGUGGCGCACGGGUGCGUAACGCGUGGGAAUCUACCCUUGGGUUCGGAAUAACAGUUGGAAACGACUGCUAAUACCGGAUGAUGACGAAAGUCCAAAGAUUUAUCGCCCAAGGAUGAGCCCGCGUAGGAUUAGCUAGUUGGUGAGGUAAAGGCUCACCAAGGCUACGAUCCUUAGCUGGUCUGAGAGGAUGAUCAGCCACACUGGGACUGAGACACGGCCCAGACUCCUACGGGAGGCAGCAGUAGGAAUAUUAGGACAAGUGGGGGCAACCGUGAUCAGACAAUGCCGCGUGAGUGAUGAGGUCGUUAGGGUU